Molecule: long non-coding RNA, 421 nt
Filed under: Musa acuminata (dwarf banana)
Lineage: Eukaryota; Viridiplantae; Streptophyta; Magnoliopsida; Zingiberales; Musaceae
Description: long non-coding RNA (MACU_LNC005048)
Source: RNAcentral
UCUUGCUGAUCUGACUGCAACCCCUUCUGAUGAUUUGAUUCACUUCAAAGUCAAGGUAUCUUCAACGACAGUUUAGUCCCUUCUGCAUUCACUAUUGCUUGGCACACGGUUUUCUGUGGACAGCAAUGACCAAGAUAUCACCACCUUGCAGUGGCAUUUUCUCAAAUUGCUCAUCUGCAUGUUCUGUGUCAGUCAUGGCGUUUCUCCAUGUUGUUUGUGUGCACGAGGAUCAAACUUCUGUCUGCAACACACACGUAGUGAUGGCAUGCUAAAAGAAAUGUCUCUUACUCUAAAGCAGGCAUGGCAAUGAAUGAAUGGCUCACCCUUCUCCGGCCCUCCUGCCGAGACCAGUAGCCAUGGUGGUUGUUUCUCUUCUUCCAUGUUUGUCUGUGUCUGUCCAUGCCCGACACAAGUCCAAUCU